RNAcentral lists this ribosomal RNA (494 nucleotides) under uncultured bacterium. RNAcentral's name for it is "partial 16S ribosomal RNA". It matches the Rfam family "Bacterial small subunit ribosomal RNA", at positions 28 to 507 of the family's 1533-position model. The record is from RNAcentral.
GACGAGCGCUGGCGGCGUGCUUAACACAUGCAAGUCGAACGGAAAGGCCUGCUUUCCCUUGUGGAUUGCGGGUACUCGAGUGGCGAACGGGUGAGUAACACGUGAGUGAUCUGCCCCCAACUUGGGUAUAAGCCUGGGAAACUGGGUCUAAUUCCCGAUAGGACUGCAGGGUGGUGCCUGUGGUGGAAAACGAUUUUCUAGUGGUUGGGGAUGAGCUCGCGGCCUAUCAGCUUGUUGGUGGGGUAAUGGCCUACCAAGGCGGCGACGGGUAGCCGGCCUGAGAGGGUGGACGGCCACAUUGGGACUGAGAUACGGCCCAGACUCCUACGGGAGGCAGCAGUGGGGAAUAUUGCACAAUGGGCGGAAGCCUGAUGCAGCGACGCCGCGUGGGGGAUGACGGCCUUCGGGUUGUAAACUCCUUUCGACCGCGAGGAAGCCACCUGGUUGGAAGGGUGGUGACGGUAGUGGUAGAAGAAGCACCGGCUGACUACGUG